CCCUUGUUGUAAUACUUGGCUACUCUCCGUUGAUAAGCUGCUAACUUGAUCAAAGCCACCUCUCUGACUUCUUCCAACAGAUCCAAGUUGACCUUCAGUCCUUCAUCAUUGUAGAUCUCUUUGAACUGACUAACCCGAAGACUUGGAGAUCCAAUCUCAACUGGGACUAAGGCAUCAGUGCCAUAAGCCAAUCUGAAAGGUGAAUCCCCUGUGGUAGUCCUCGGUG
Molecule: long non-coding RNA, 226 nt
Filed under: Panax ginseng (ginseng)
Lineage: Eukaryota; Viridiplantae; Streptophyta; Magnoliopsida; Apiales; Araliaceae
Description: long non-coding RNA (PGIN_LNC011039)
Source: RNAcentral